RNAcentral lists this ribosomal RNA (1398 nucleotides) under uncultured organism. RNAcentral describes it as "16S ribosomal RNA". It matches the Rfam family "Bacterial small subunit ribosomal RNA". The record is from RNAcentral.
ACAUGCAAGUCGAACGGACCAUAUAAUUGGGUAACCGAAAGUAUGGUUAGUGGCGAAAGUGGUGAGGAAUAGAUAGGAACGUACCCUGUGCUCUGGGAUAGCGUCUGAAGCUUCGGCUUCUUCCGAAAGGGGCGGUAAUACCAGAUAAUGUCCUUCGGGACCAAAGAUUUAUCGGCAUUGGAGCGGCCUAUCUCCUAUCAGCUUGUUGGUGAGGUAACGGCUCACCAAGGCAACGACGGGUAGCGGGACUGAGAGGUUGGCCCGCCACAUCGGGACUGAGACACUGCCCGGACCUCCACGGAGGGCUGCAGUAACGGAUAUUGGGCAAUGGGCGAAAGCCUGACCCAGCAAUGCCGCGUGCAGGAUGAAGCCCCUAGGGGUGUAAACUGCUGUCAGGGGUCAGAAAGCUGGUUUCGGCCAGUUGAUCAACCCCAGAGGAAGUCACGGCUAACUUCGUGCCAGCAGCCGCGGUAAUGCGAAGGUGGCAAGCGUUAUUCGGAAUCAUUGGGCUUAAAGGGCACGCAGGCGGAACAGUGUGUGUUGUGUGAAAUCCCCCGGCUUAACCGGGGAAUUGCACAGCAAACUGCUGUUCUUGAGGCAGGUAGGGGUGCAUGGAACUCUUGGUGGAGCGGUGGAAUGCGUAGAUAUCAAGAGGAACGCCAGAGGUGAAGACGGUGCACUGGGCCUGUCCUGACGCUGAGGUGCGAAAGCGUGGGGAGCGAACGGGAUUAGAUACCCCGGUAGUCCACGCCGUAAACGAUGUCUACUAGGCCGUGGGUGUUCUGACACAUUCACGGCCGGAGCAAAAGUGUUUAGUAGACCGCCUGGGGAGUACGGCCGCAAGGUUAAAACUCAAAUGAAUUGACGGGGGCUCACACAAGCGGUGGAGCAUGUGGAUUAAUUCGAAGCAACGCGCAGAACCUUACCUGGGUUUGACAUGCUUGUAUGCCUUCUCUGAAAGGAGUUAGGCUGCCUUCGGGUGAAACUUGCACAGGUGCUGCAUGGCUGUCGUCAGCUCGUGUCGUGAGAUGUCGGGUUAAGUCCUUUAACGAGCGAAACCCUUGCCGUUAGCUGCCAGCGAGUAAUGUCGGGGACUCUAACGGGACUGCCGGUGUUAAACCGGAGGAAGGUGGGGAUGACGUCAAGUCCUCAUGGCCUUUAUGCCCAGGGCUUCACACGUGCUACAAUGGCAAUUACAGAGCGACGCGAUACCGCGAGGUGGAGCAAAUCGCAAAAAAUUGCCUCAGUUCGGAUUGCAGGCUGGCAAUUCGCCUGCAUGAAGUCGGAAUCGCUAGUAAUCGCGUAUCAGCAAUGACGCGGUGAAUGUGUUCCUGAGCUUUGUACACACCGCCCGUCAAGUGAUGGAAGCCGGGAGUACCCGAAGUCGGGUUGCUAACC